UACGUAGGGGGCAAGCGUUGUCCGGAUUCAUUGGGCGUAAAGAGCGUGUAGGCGGCCACGCAGGUCCGUUGUGAAAACUGGAGGCUCAACUUCCAGACGUCGACGGAAACCGCGUGGCUAGAGUCCGGAAGAGGAGAGUGGAAUUCCUGGUGUAGCGGUGAAAUGCGCAGAUAUCAGGAAGAACACCAAUGGCGAAGGCAGCUCUCUGGGACGGUACUGACGCUGAGACGCGAAAGCGUGGGGAGCGAACAGG
RNAcentral lists this ribosomal RNA (253 nucleotides) under uncultured bacterium. RNAcentral's name for it is "partial 16S ribosomal RNA". It matches the Rfam family "Bacterial small subunit ribosomal RNA", at positions 524 to 776 of the family's 1533-position model. The record is from RNAcentral.